This 339-nucleotide non-coding RNA is filed under the name Hamatocaulis vernicosus. Its description in RNAcentral is "partial tRNA-Leu". The stretch from base 15 to 264 matches the Rfam family "Group I catalytic intron". From Rfam's summary of the family: Group I catalytic introns are large self-splicing ribozymes. They catalyse their own excision from mRNA, tRNA and rRNA precursors in a wide range of organisms. The core secondary structure consists of 9 paired regions (P1-P9). Lineage: Eukaryota; Viridiplantae; Streptophyta; Bryopsida; Hypnales; Calliergonaceae. The record is from RNAcentral.
CGAAUCGGUAGACGCUACGGACUUAAAUAAUUUGAGCGUUAGUAGAAAAACUUACUAAAUGCUAGCUUUCAGAUUCAGGGAAACUUAGGUUGAUAAAAAUAUAAGCAAUCCUGAGCCAAAUCUUAUUUCGUUCGGAAAUAAAAUAGGUGCAGAGACUCAAUGGAAGCUAUCCUAACGAAUAAUAUUUUUAAAAUUAUUUAAAAUUUAUUUUUUAGAUAUUAAGCGAGGAUAAAGAUAGAGUCCAAUUUUACAUGUUAAUCUUAGCAACAAUUUAAAUUGUAGUAGAAAGAAAAUCCGUUGGCUUUAUUGACCGUGAGGGUUCAAGUCCCUCUACCCCCA